This is a non-coding RNA of Caenorhabditis elegans, 89 nucleotides long. The record is from Ensembl. Lineage: Eukaryota; Metazoa; Nematoda; Chromadorea; Rhabditida; Rhabditidae.
GCUUGCCUCGAGUUCGAGGUACACUGGGUGUUCUGGUACUCGUAUGGGUACGUGGGUUCGAAUUCCACUUCGUGCAGAUUCUUUUUGCA